Podarcis lilfordi (Lilford's wall lizard) is the source of this 74-nucleotide non-coding RNA. Lineage: Eukaryota; Metazoa; Chordata; Lepidosauria; Squamata; Lacertidae. The record is from the annotation of a GenBank genome assembly.
UAGGAUAGCUCAGUUUGCAGAGCAUGGGACUCUGAACCUCAGGGUUGUGGGUUCGAGCCCCACGCGGGGCAAAA